RNAcentral lists this ribosomal RNA (465 nucleotides) under Paenibacillus sp. 090-4.2-LH-A-08. RNAcentral's name for it is "bacterial SSU rRNA". It matches the Rfam family "Bacterial small subunit ribosomal RNA", at positions 44 to 490 of the family's 1533-position model. Lineage: Bacteria; Bacillati; Bacillota; Bacilli; Caryophanales; Paenibacillaceae. The record is from RNAcentral.
GUGCUAAUACAUGCAAGUCGAGCGGACUUGAUGAAGUGCUUGCACUUCUGAUGGUUAGCGGCGGACGGGUGAGUAACACGUAGGUAACCUGCCUAUAAGACUGGGAUAACAUUCGGAAACGAAUGCUAAUACCGGAUACGCGAAUUGGUCGCAUGGCCGAAUCGGGAAAGACGGAGCAAUCUGUCACUUAUAGAUGGACCUGCGGCGCAUUAGCUAGUUGGUGAGGUAACGGCUCACCAAGGCGACGAUGCGUAGCCGACCUGAGAGGGUGAUCGGCCACACUGGGACUGAGACACGGCCCAGACUCCUACGGGAGGCAGCAGUAGGGAAUCUUCCGCAAUGGACGAAAGUCUGACGGAGCAACGCCGCGUGAGUGAUGAAGGUUUUCGGAUCGUAAAGCUCUGUUGCCAGGGAAGAACGCUUGGGAGAGUAACUGCUCUCAAGGUGACGGUCCUGAGAAGAAAC